RNAcentral lists this transfer RNA (86 nucleotides) under Desulfobulbus sp. Its description in RNAcentral is "tRNA-Ser". It matches the Rfam family "tRNA". From Rfam's summary of the family: Transfer RNA (tRNA) molecules are approximately 80 nucleotides in length. Their secondary structure includes four short double-helical elements and three loops (D, anti-codon, and T loops). Further hydrogen bonds mediate the characteristic L-shaped molecular structure. tRNAs have two regions of fundamental functional importance: the anti-codon, which is responsible for specific mRNA codon recognition, and the 3' end, to which the tRNAs corresponding amino acid is attached (by aminoacyl-tRNA synthetases). tRNAs cope with the degeneracy of the genetic code in two manners: having more than one tRNA (with a specific anti-codon) for a particular amino acid; and 'wobble' base-pairing, i.e. permitting non-standard base-pairing at the 3rd anti-codon position. The record is from RNAcentral. Lineage: Bacteria; Pseudomonadati; Thermodesulfobacteriota; Desulfobulbia; Desulfobulbales; Desulfobulbaceae.
GGAGAGGUGACCGAGUGGUUUAAGGUGCACGCCUGGAACGCGUGUGUACGCAAGUACCGAGAGUUCGAAUCUCUCCUUCUCCGCCA